UUGUGUGUUAGUGGAACGGUCUGGAAAGUCCGACGGUACAGGGUGAUAGUCCCGUACACCAAAAUGCACAGGUUGUGAACUCGAAGAGUAGGGCGGGACACGUGGUAUCCUGUCUGAAUAUGGGGGGACCAUCCUCCAAGGCUAAAUACUCCUGACUGACCGAUAGUGAACCAGUACCGUGAGGGAAAGGCGAAAAGAACCCCGGCGAGGGGAGUGAAAAAGAACCUGAAACCGUGUACGUACAAGCAGUGGGAGCCUCUUUAUGGGGUGACUGCGUACCUUUUGUAUAAUGGGUCAGCGACUUAUAUUCUGUAGCAAGGUUAACCGUAUAGGGGAGCCGAAGGGAAACCGAGUCUUAACUGGGCGUUAAGUUGCAGGGUAUAGACCCGAAACCCGGUGAUCUAGCCAUGGGCAGGUUGAAGGUUGGGUAACACUAACUGGAGGACCGAACCGACUAAUGUUGAAAAAUUAGCGGAUGACUUGUGGCUGGGGGUGAAAGGCCAAUCAAACCGGGAGAUAGCUGGUUCUCCCCGAAAGCUAUUUAGGUAGCGCCUCGUGAACUCAUCUUCGGGGGUAGAGCACUGUUUCGGCUAGGGGGUCAUCCCGACUUACCAACCCGAUGCAAACUGCGAAUACCGAAGAAUGUUAUCACGGGAGACACACGGCGGGUGCUAACGUCCGUCGUGAAGAGGGAAACAACCCAGACCGCCAGCUAAGGUCCCAAAGUCAUGGUUAAGUGGGAAACGAUGUGGGAAGGCACAGACAGCCAGGAUGUUGGCUUAGAAGCAGCCAUCAUUUAAAGAAAGCGUAAUAGCUCACUGGUCGAGUCGGCCUGCGCGGAAGAUGUAACGGGGCUAAACCAUGCACCGAAGCUGCGGCAGCGACACUAUGUGUUGUUGGGUAGGGGAGCGUUCUGUAAGCCGUUGAAGGUGGCCUGUGAGGGUUGCUGGAGGUAUCAGAAGUGCGAAUGCUGACAUAAGUAACGAUAAUGCGGGUGAAAAACCCGCACGCCGGAAGACCAAGGGUUCCU
RNAcentral lists this ribosomal RNA (1030 nucleotides) under Citrobacter freundii. RNAcentral describes it as "partial 23S ribosomal RNA". It matches the Rfam family "Bacterial large subunit ribosomal RNA", at positions 322 to 1356 of the family's 2925-position model. Lineage: Bacteria; Pseudomonadati; Pseudomonadota; Gammaproteobacteria; Enterobacterales; Enterobacteriaceae. The record is from RNAcentral.